RNAcentral lists this long non-coding RNA (649 nucleotides) under Olea europaea subsp. europaea. Lineage: Eukaryota; Viridiplantae; Streptophyta; Magnoliopsida; Lamiales; Oleaceae. The record is from RNAcentral.
UUCAUCCUUAUUUCCACGUUUCAUUGUGAAAAAUGUCUUUUUCAUUAAUUUUCUCAAUUAAAAAUUACAAAAUGACAACUGUACCUCAUGUUCAAAGAAAAGAAAAAUAAAGAAUAAACUAUAAUCAUACUUCCAAUUUUUUCAAAAAAAAUACAAAUAAGUCUCAAAUAAAUUAAAUUAAAAAUUAGAAAAAGAAAAUCGUCUUCUUUCUAGCUCCCCCCUCUCCUUCACCCAUUUCCCACCUAAUUGCUCCAUUAUCGCAACAAUGGCACCCUUUUUGCAAUCAAGAACACCAUAGCCUUCCUCUUCUUCCCUCUGUUCGACUCCUAUCGUACGCCCUUUUUGCAUUUUCUUUGAUACUACAUUAUAGGGUCACAAAUUCCAGUUGUGAGGGCAAAGAUUUGCAACACCUUUAUGCCCUUGUUGAGUUUGAUAAUGAUGGAAGGAAAAAUCGCCAGCUGGAUUAAAUCGGAACACGAUGUUUUGUGAAAGGAUGAAUUUAUUGUUGUUGUGGAAACUGAUAAAACUAAUAUAGAUGUUGAGACGUUCUACAAUGGAAUAUUGGGGGGCAAUUGUUAUUAACGAAGGAGAGAUGGCUCCUGUUGUUGCGACAAUUAGAAUGUUAGCAGAAAUGGGGGAUGAAUAGCUU